UGAACUGAAAGAACAAAUCGCCUACUUCAGGCGGUGGCAAGCGUAUGGAAAUUAUAUUAGAACUUCAGCAAAGUGCACAGCUGCAUAAUAGAGAAGCCGGCACUCAGAUUGACAGGCAAAUAAGCCAGCUUGUGGAAGGGGCCUCUGGGUGGCAGCUCUGGGCUUUUGGGUGUUGGACAACCAUAGGCAAAACUGAAAUGGAACAGGGGCAGAAAAUAGCACACUUUUACUCUACGCAACUGUUGCUUUUUCAUGAUCUUCAGGAAUUUUACUGGGAUAAUUAUCCAAAUAAAUUGCAAGCAUUCUAUCCAAAUGGAGCUCUUUCUGAGAUGAAGAGAAUUCUCAAUGUCAAGAUUUGAACAAGAAGAGAAUGGAAUACACAAUAUGGACAUCCAUAAAAAUUCAUCAGAGAGCAUUUUACUACUGAGCUGCAAAGGCUGGAGUGCAGUGGCACCGUCUCAGGUCACUUCAACCUCCGCCUCCUGGGCUCAAGCGAGUCUCCCGCCUCAGCCUCCUGAGUACCUGGAAUUGCAGGUGCCCAUCACCAUGCUCAGCUAAUUUUUGUAUUUUUAGUAGAGACGAGGUUUCACCAUGUAGGCCAGGCUGGUCUCGAACUCCCAACCUCAAGUGAUCUACCUGCCUCAGCCUCCCAAAGUACUGGGAUUACAGGUGUGAGCCACUAUGCCCUGCUUCUUAUAGCCUUUUUUAUUAAUCUAUUUUUUCCCAACUUCUUGGUCUAAAUAAAUCUGAAUUUUUCAACUAGUUUGCCUCAUGCAAUUUUCUCCUCUAUUGAUUCUCAAGGCAUGAAUCAUCAAAGCGGUCUUGUCAAAAGGAAACAUUAUUUUUUUACUAAAAUUAUGAAGAAAUUGAAGCAAAUGUGAUUUCAAAGACCUAACUUUAUCCAAUUUUCUACUUUUUUCCAAGCUCUACAUUUUCACAGUAAAACUUCUGUUUUAUCUUUUAACAACAUGAUAAAGAAAAACACAGAUGGAAGAACAUUGAGGGGGAAUUCCUAAAUGGGAGCAGUUAGCAGCUAUGAAAAUGUAGAUAUUCAAGAAGAAAAGAAAAAGUAAGCAAAACUGAAUCAUGAGACCAUAGAAGAGUCAAAAAAAUGUCAAUUUAUCUCAGCUUUCUGCAAACUACAACCCAUGGGCCAAAUUCAAGGUCUGUUUUUGUACAAUCUACACAUUAAGAAUGGUUUUUACAAUGAUACGUGUUAGAAAAAUGUUUAGAAAGUCAUAUUUUAUGAUGUGAAAAUUGAUAAAAUGUUGUUGUCCAUAAAUAAAGUUUUAUUGGAACACCA
This is a long non-coding RNA of Homo sapiens (human), 1303 nucleotides long. Ensembl annotates it as mir-99a-let-7c cluster host gene. Its record names the gene MIR99AHG. The record is from Ensembl. NCBI's taxonomy places the organism in Eukaryota, Metazoa, Chordata, Mammalia, Primates, Hominidae.